This is a long non-coding RNA of Hippocampus zosterae (dwarf seahorse), 820 nucleotides long. RefSeq lists it as uncharacterized. The transcript is spliced from 2 exons. The record is from RefSeq and is a predicted model, not a curated record. Lineage: Eukaryota; Metazoa; Chordata; Actinopteri; Syngnathiformes; Syngnathidae.
AAUCGGAACUUGUGGCUUACAAUUGUGGCUCUCUACUGGACGGGCGUGUAGACAAAUCAAGCGCACCUUCUCUAGCAUUGGUAAUAAGGCAGAAGUAAAGGCAGUGGCUUAAGACGUUGGCCGGGCUUUUUUUUGGGGGGGGGGUGAGCUACGAUACAAACGCAUACCGAAAAACAUGACAUUGCCGGCUCAUGACGGAAUGAAAAAAAAAGUUGAAGGACAUUGAGAAUUGUAGUUUGGAGCCGAGGGGCUCUCCAUUUGCUUACCCAGACGUCCAAGUUGCUCAUGGCCCCAAACUCGACGGCUGGAGGACACGGUUGUCCAAAUGAAUGCGCCAAUCAAUCAUCACGGAAAUAUCGAGUCACACCGACUGUCAAGUCUUUGCUCAAACGGACGCACGCGUCGACCUCCACCAUGAACACAACGUCCAGUUACACCAAGUAGUGUUCAGCGCGGACCACACAUGCGCAAAGUUGAAACAGAUGAAAUGUCGGGAGCACAACAUCACCCGGGUACGAACGAUUGAGGCAGCGGCGCGGCGUUUGUUCGAGAUCAAGACGACCAUCGCUCGAGCUCUCCUGACCAACUUCCACUUCCAAAAUCGAGGAGAUGAUGUUCCGCUUGAAAUGUCGGCGACAGCUGUUGGAGCGAGCGUUCGCGCCGAAUGCAGAAUACUUACACAUCGGACGGAGAGAGGCGAAGAACUGGAACAGAAAGAGCGCCGGGCUGUCCGACAAUUUGCUUCCAGUGGCGUCGACCGGCUCGUCGGAACGUUGACUCGGCUCUCCGCGAGCUGGGUCGGGGCACCGUCUAGCGCAGC